GACGAACGCUGGCGGCGUGCCUAAUACAUGCAAGUUGAGCGCUGAAGGUUGGUACUUGUACCAACUGGAUGAGCAGCGAACGGGUGAGUAACGCGUGGGGAAUCUGCCUUUGAGCGGGGGACAACAUUUGGAAACGAAUGCUAAUACCGCAUAAAAACUUUAAACACAAGUUUUAAGUUUGAAAGAUGCAAUUGCAUCACUCAAAGAUGAUCCCGCGUUGUAUUAGCUAGUUGGUGAGGUAAAGGCCCACCAAGGCGAUGAUACAUAGCCGACCUGAGAGGGUGAUCGGCCACAUUGGGACUGAGACACGGCCCAAACUCCUACGGGAGGCAGCAGUAGGGAAUCUUCGGCAAUGGACGAAAGUCUGACCGAGCAACGCCGCGUGAGUGAAGAAGGUUUUCGGAUCGUAAAACUCUGUUGGUAGAGAAGAACGUUGGUGAGAGUGGAAAGCUCAUCAAGUGACGGUAACUACCCAGAAAGGGACGGCUAACUACGU
Molecule: ribosomal RNA, 496 nt
Filed under: uncultured bacterium
Lineage: Bacteria
Description: partial 16S ribosomal RNA
Rfam family: Bacterial small subunit ribosomal RNA
Source: RNAcentral